Molecule: ribosomal RNA, 256 nt
Filed under: uncultured bacterium
Lineage: Bacteria
Description: partial 16S ribosomal RNA
Rfam family: Bacterial small subunit ribosomal RNA
Source: RNAcentral
UACGUAGGGUGCAAGCGUUGUCCGGAAUUAUUGGGCGUAAAGAGCUCGUAGGCGGUGUGUCGCGUCGGCCGUGAAAACCUGCAGCUUAACUGUGGGCUUGCGGUCGAUACGGGCAUCACUGGAGUUCGGCAGGGGAGACUGGAAUUCCUGGUGUAGCGGUGAAAUGCGCAGAUAUCAGGAAGAACACCCGUGGCGAAGGCGGCUCUCUGGGACGGUACUGACGCUGAGACGCGAAAAGCGUGGGGGAGCAAACAGG